This 1065-nucleotide unclassified non-coding RNA is filed under the name Hevea brasiliensis (rubber tree). The record is from RNAcentral. Lineage: Eukaryota; Viridiplantae; Streptophyta; Magnoliopsida; Malpighiales; Euphorbiaceae.
AGAGCGACGAAACCUUUGAGAUGGAACUGGCUCCGCUCUAAUCAGACACCGUUUGAAAAAAGCGAUCAUUGGAAGAUUUAAAUUAGUUGGCGCAAUUAGAUCGGUGACAACUCGCUGGCACUUGAGAUUGAGUUCAGUCCGGUCUGGGUGUUCGGCCGGUUGUCCCAAAAAAGGAUUAUAUUUAUAGCCAUUCCUAGCAUUUUUAGACAUUUCGGAUGUAUUUCAGAUAGCAGAAUUUGUAAAGGAGGGUUUGGUCCAGUUAUAGGGGAGACUCUGCCGAAAUUUCAGUGAUCAGUACCGACUAACUUUUCUUCUUUCCAGCCGAACCAGCUGCAAUCGAGUCAACCAGUGUCCAACAGCCAAUAGUAAUGUAGCAACUGAUUUCAUCUUCAUAAUGUAAAUGGAUGAUGGUUUUCGGAAGAGUUCUUUCUCUUAAUUUGUCGAAGGGCCAACGAGUAAGCAAUGGCUCUGUAAAAUUAUAUAAAACAUCCCACACCAACGUUUGGACAAAGGUUGGCUGAAGAUCUCCUCUCAAUUCCAAAAUGAGAGGUGUUAUUGAAGCAACAAAUCUGUUCCCAUACAAAUAUGACAUUGGCAGAUAAGUCAUCAGAAAAUAGCAUAACAUUUUGGCUGCAUCAGAGUGAAGAAAUUUCAUGAUUUCAGAAUCUAAGUUAAGUCAUUCAAUGCAGUAUUAUGAAAUUUAACAAAACCUGUGUGGAGUGGAAAGAAACUAAGUAUUUUCUGUUCAAGUUUCUUAAUGCCUGAAUGUGGGCUAACUUUGUUCCUGCAUUUAUCAUUCUCUGUUUACAACAGAUGUGACACUUGAAGAUCCAAUAACGGUUCAUUCCCAACUCCUUUAAACUGCACGUCCUCGUGUAGGGGACACGGUGUUAGGUCAGGCUAGAGAACCUCAAAAGCUAACUCAAGGGUGAAGGUCUACUAACCCAUAUAACUAGCACCCAAGACCUCCUUACCAACCGAUGUGGGACUUGGAGACCCAAGAACACAUCAUUCAGGAUCAUGGACCUUGUAUGGAUUAGAUGUAUCGCAGUUUGGAGAUGUAAA